This is a small nuclear RNA of Zalophus californianus (California sea lion), 107 nucleotides long. Lineage: Eukaryota; Metazoa; Chordata; Mammalia; Carnivora; Otariidae. The record is from Ensembl.
GUGUUCGCUUGGGCAGCACAUAUACUAAAAUUGGAAUGAUACAGAGAAGAUUAUCAUGGCCCCUACACAAGGAGGACACACAAAUUCGUGAAGUGUUCCAUAUAUAA